UACGUCCAAAUCACAUUUAAACACCGGUUCUCGUACGAUCACCGAAGUUAAGCAACGUCAAGCCUGGUCACUACCUAGAUGGGUGACCGCUUGGAAAUACCAGGUGCU
Non-coding RNA from Acanthosepion pharaonis, 108 nucleotides. The record is from the annotation of a GenBank genome assembly. Lineage: Eukaryota; Metazoa; Mollusca; Cephalopoda; Sepiida; Sepiidae.